UAUCAAUAAGCGGAGGAAAAGAAACUAACAAGGAUUCCCCUAGUAACUGCGAGUGAAGCGGGAAAAGCUCAAAUUUAAAAUCUGGUGGUCUUUUGGCCGUCCGAGUUGUAAUUUAGAGAAGCGUCUUCCGCGCUGGACCGUACACAAGUCUCCUGGAACGGAGCGUCAUAGAGGGUGAGAAUCCCGUCUUUGGUACGGACCCCCAGGGCUUCUGUGAUGCGCUCUCGAAGAGUCGAGUUGUUUGGGAAUGCAGCUCAAAAUGGGUGGUGAACUCCAUCUAAAGCUAAAUAUUGGCGAGAGACCGAUAGCGAACAAGUACCGUGAGGGAAAGAUGAAAAGCACUUUGGAAAGAGAGUGAAACAGUACGUGAAAUUGUUGAAAGGGAAACGCUUGAAGUCAGUCGCGUCCGCCGAGACUCAGCCUCGCUCCGGCUUGGCGUAUUUCUCGGUCGACGGGUCAGCAUCAAUUUUGUCCCUCGGAUAAUGGCGAGGGAAAGGUGGCACCUUUGCGGGUGUGUUAUAGUCCUUUGUCGCAUGCGAGGGGCGAGAUUGAGGAACUCAGCACGCGCGCCCCUCUGGGGGUGUGUCGGGGCCUCGGCCCACGCCACGUGCUUAGGAUGCUGGCGUAAUGGCUUUAAACGACC
RNAcentral lists this ribosomal RNA (643 nucleotides) under Russula aff. brevipes r-04085. RNAcentral's name for it is "LSU rRNA". It matches the Rfam family "Eukaryotic large subunit ribosomal RNA", at positions 41 to 649 of the family's 3401-position model. Lineage: Eukaryota; Fungi; Basidiomycota; Agaricomycetes; Russulales; Russulaceae. The record is from RNAcentral.